Molecule: ribosomal RNA, 406 nt
Filed under: uncultured bacterium
Lineage: Bacteria
Description: partial 16S ribosomal RNA
Rfam family: Bacterial small subunit ribosomal RNA
Source: RNAcentral
AUUGAACGCUGGCGGCAGGCCUAACACAUGCAAGUCGAACGAGUGGCGGACGGGUGAGUAAUGUCUGGGAAACUGCCUGAUGGAGGGGGAUAACUACUGGAAACGGUAGCUAAUACCGCAUACCAUACGAUUUGUCCAGAUGGGAUUAGCUUGUUGGUGGGGUAACGGCUCACCAAGGCGACGAUCCUGAGCUGGUCUGAGAGGAGGACCAGCCAAACUAGAACUGAGAAACGGUCCAGACUCCUACGGGAGGCAGCAGUGGGGAAUAUUGCACAAUGGGCGCAAGCCUGAUGCAGCCAUGCGGCGUGGAUGAAGAAGGCCUUCGGGUGGUAAAGUACUUUCAGCGGGGAGGCGUUACCCGCAGAAGAAGCACCGGCUAACUCCGUGCCAGCAGCCGCGGUAAUUC